This 457-nucleotide ribosomal RNA is filed under the name uncultured bacterium. RNAcentral describes it as "bacterial SSU rRNA". It matches the Rfam family "Bacterial small subunit ribosomal RNA", at positions 337 to 797 of the family's 1533-position model. The record is from RNAcentral.
ACCUACGGGGGGCAGCAGUCGGGAAUUUUGCGCAAUGGGCGAAAGCCUGACGCAGCAACGCCGCGUGGAGGAUGAAGGUCUUCGGAUCGUAAACUCCUGUCAGUGGGGACGAAUGCUUCGCAAGAAGUUUGACUGUACCCGCUGAGGAAGCCACGGCUAACUCCGUGCCAGCAGCCGCGGUAAUACGGAGGUGGCAAGCGUUGUUCGGAAUUACUGGGCGUAAAGGGCGCGUAGGCGGCUUUGCAAGUCAGAUGUGAAAUCCCCGGGCUUAACUCGGGAAUUGCAUCUGAAACUGCUUAGCUUGAGUUCUGGAUGGGGUAGUGGAAUUCCCAGUGUAGCGGUGAAAUGCGUAGAUAUUGGGAGGAACACCUGCGGCGAAGGCGGCUACCUGGACAGUAACUGACGCUGAGGCGCGAAAGCUAGGGGAGCGAACGGGAUUAGAUACCCGGGUAGUCCG